AACGCUGGCGGUAGGCCUAACACAUGCAAGUCGAACGGCAGCACAGUAAGAGCUUGCUCUUACGGGUGGCGAGUGGCGGACGGGUGAGGAAUACAUCGGAAUCUACUUUUUCGUGGGGGAUAACGUAGGGAAACUUACGCUAAUACCGCAUACGACCUACGGGUGAAAGCAGGGGAUCUUCGGACCUUGCGCGAUUGAAUGAGCCGAUGUCGGAUUAGCUAGUUGGCGGGGUAAAGGCCCACCAAGGCGACGAUCCGUAGCUGGUCUGAGAGGAUGAUCAGCCACACUGGAACUGAGACACGGUCCAGACUCCUACGGGAGGCAGCAGUGGGGAAUAUUGGACAAUGGGCGCAAGCCUGAUCCAGCCAUACCGCGUGGGUGAAGAAGGCCUUCGGGUUGUAAAGCCCCUUUGUUGGGAAAGAAAAGCAGCAGGUUAAUACCCCGCUGUUCUGACGGUACCCAAAGAAUAAGCACCGGCUAACUUCGUG
This 488-nucleotide ribosomal RNA is filed under the name uncultured bacterium. Its description in RNAcentral is "partial 16S ribosomal RNA". It matches the Rfam family "Bacterial small subunit ribosomal RNA", at positions 32 to 507 of the family's 1533-position model. The record is from RNAcentral.